GGUUGUUAAUGGGUGCGAGUCAUUGUGACACUUUAAAGGGGUUGGACAGAAUUAUGGGAACUGUGGAAUAAGAGGACUAGAAAUGAGAAUUUGAUGGAUGAAAGCUUGAGGCAGGGUGGUCUUAAUCGUGAGAAAAGUUUGAUAAAACAGGGAUAAUUCUUGUUGAUGAAAAAAUAAGAGUGCAGAGGAACAGAAUAUGGAGUGAAGUAGGAGUUUGGGGAGGGAACUGGGAAUCAAUUCCCUGUGUCCACCAAAUAACUGAAAGCCAUUAAAGAAAUAAAGGAGUGGGGUCUGACAUGUAUGUAAAAGGAUCAAUUAUGCAGGGGAUGCAGACCACAGAUUGGUCUAAUUUGACAACUGAUAAAUAAAAAUACGAUGGAUGCCGAAUGUGAUAGCGCUAUCUAAAUAAAAUAAAUGAAAACAAUAUAUAUUUUUUUUCAAUAAGUACAAUUUUUAUUAUGUAGACCUAAAGUAGAGAAAUGUAGCAUUGAAUGACUCCAAUAAUUGAGCACGCAUCCGGCAGAGCACAGCUUCCCAUGGUCGGACUGAAUGUCAGUUCAUAAACAUCUCAAUCAUUCAAUGUUGUUACCAACCAUAUACAGUAUUAGCGUUGGCAGUCCUUGAAAAGCGCCAUUGACUGCUUUCAAUCAAACAACAGAAGG
This 662-nucleotide long non-coding RNA is filed under the name Mytilus galloprovincialis (Mediterranean mussel). The record is from RNAcentral. Lineage: Eukaryota; Metazoa; Mollusca; Bivalvia; Mytilida; Mytilidae.